AUGUCAAAGGUAAAGCUAUGUACUUGUUCAUCAAUGUCAUUUACUUGUUUCUUAAUCUCGUGGCUUCCCUGAAGGAGCCUACUGCUCACUAGCCAUCUCGAAGGUAGGGAGGGUCAACUCGCACUACGAACCGAGACCGUCUGCCGGGGCCGGAAAAUAGGCAAUCCCUUGGGACCCAAAAUAGGCAAUCCCACGUGACCAACAUCCGGAGCGCACUACUUGUGUGGGGCUUCCAUCACAAGAUUUAGAAACAGACCGUGAGCAUGAUCCAAUCCUCGUCUCGAGAAUACCCUAUUCUCUAGGGUUACAAUCAUCAUAUAGUCCAUAGGUUUCACAUACACUACGACUCAUAUGUGUCAUUUGUUCUUUUGCUUACUAUCAACUAAAUUGCCACUCGUCCAUUGUUUACUAUCGACUAGAUGCCACUCGUUCUUUGUUUAACAUUAGACCAACCAUUGAGCCCAUCUCUUUCUCUGCACUAUAGGAUUCACAAGUCUCGACCCAAUCCUUAUCAAUCCACUAUAUCAAGUAUCCAAUACAUGCUACGAUAUCAUCAAGGAAAGCAUAAGGAAAGGCAAUGCACAAUCAUCCUAUAAUGCAAUAAUACAAGAUGCAAGAAUCGACAUGUACUAAGACAUAGAAGGGAGCCCGAUUGCUUCGGGAUGGACACCACCCACCUCUUGG
This 684-nucleotide long non-coding RNA is filed under the name Ananas comosus (pineapple). RNAcentral's name for it is "long non-coding RNA (ACOM_LNC039943)". Lineage: Eukaryota; Viridiplantae; Streptophyta; Magnoliopsida; Poales; Bromeliaceae. The record is from RNAcentral.